GAGCUUUCGGGUCGUAAACUCUGUUGUUAGGGAGGACAGUGCUAGUGGAUAGCUGCACUGACGGUACCUACAGAAGGCACGCUACUACGUGGCAGCAGCCGCGGUUAAUACGUAGUGGCAAGCGUAUCCGGAAUUAUUGGGCGUAAAGCGGCGGCGCAGGUGGUUUUCUUAAGUCCUGAUGGUGAAAGCCCACGCUUCAACCCGGGGGAGGGGUCAUUGAAACUGGGAGGACUGAGUGCAGAAGAAGGAAGUUGGAUUCCAUUGGUAGCGGUGAAAUGCGAGAAGAAAUGAAGAACACCGGUGGCGAAGCGGCUUUUCUGUCUUUACUGACCACGAGGCCGGGAAGGCGUGGGAAGCAACCAGGAUAAAUCCCUGGGUAGUCAAGGCCUUAACGGAGAAGUCUUAGUUUUGGAGGGUUUCCGCCCUUUAUUCCGGAAGUAACGCCAUUAACCCUUCCCCUGGGGAAGUCGGGCGCAAAGGUGAAAAUUCAAGGAAUUGGCGGGGGGCCGCCCCAACGGUUGGACCAGUGGGUUAAUUUGGAACCACGCGGAGGACCUUUCCCAGUUCUGGCCUUCUUCGACCACCCUAGGGAUUAGGCUUUUCCUUUCGGAGCCGGAGUACCAGUGGGGCCAGGGUGUUGUUAAGUUCGGUUGGGGGAAGGUGGGGUAAAUUCCGCCACGAAGGCCACCCUUUAUUUUUAUUGCCCUCCAUUAAUUGGGCCAUUUAAAGGGGACUCCGGGGGCCAACCGGGAGGAAGGGGGGGAGGAGGUCAAUUCUCCAUCCCCUUUAGGCCUUGGGUUCCCCACGUGUUCCAAUGGCGGGUCCAAGGAGUGCCAAGCCCGGGAGGGGAAGUAAUUUUCAAAAACCCUUUUCCAUUUGGGAUGUUGGGUUCCAAUUGCCUUCCAGGAAGCGGGAUUCGUUGGUAUUGGGGGUUCACCAUCCGCGGGGGAAUAGUUUCCGGGCCUUGGUCCCCCCCCCCGGCCCCCCCCGGGGAUUUGGUACCCCCGGAAUUGGGGGGGUUACCCUUUGGAGCCAGCCGCGUAAGGGGGUCCCCUG
Molecule: ribosomal RNA, 1056 nt
Filed under: bacterium MAS16
Lineage: Bacteria
Description: partial 16S ribosomal RNA
Rfam family: Bacterial small subunit ribosomal RNA
Source: RNAcentral